AGUGAACGCUGGCGGUAGGCCUAACACAUGCAAGUCGAACGGCAGCACAGUAAGAGCUUGCUCUUACGGGUGGCGAGUGGCGGACGGGUGAGGAAUACAUCGGAAUCUACUUUUUCGUGGGGGAUAACGUAGGGAAACUUACGCUAAUACCGCAUACGACCUACGGGUGAAAGCAGGGGAUCUUCGGACCUUGCGCGAUUGAAUGAGCCGAUGUCGGAUUAGCUAGUUGGCGGGGUAAAGGCCCACCAAGGCGACGAUCCGUAGCUGGUCUGAGAGGAUGAUCAGCCACACUGGAACUGAGACACGGUCCAGACUCCUGCGGGAGGCAGCAGUGGGGAAUAUUGGACAAUGGGCGCAAGCCUGAUCCAGCCAUACCGCGUGGGUGAAGAAGGCCUUCGGGUUGUAAAGCCCUUUUGUUGGGAAAGAAAAGCAGCAGGUUAAUACCCCGCUAUUCUGACGGUACCCAAAGAAUAAGCACCGGCUAACUUCGUG
RNAcentral lists this ribosomal RNA (492 nucleotides) under uncultured bacterium. RNAcentral's name for it is "partial 16S ribosomal RNA". It matches the Rfam family "Bacterial small subunit ribosomal RNA", at positions 29 to 507 of the family's 1533-position model. The record is from RNAcentral.